GUGGGGUGACGGCGUGCCUUUUGCAUAAUGAGCCUACGAGUUACCGUUGCUGGCAAGGAUAAGUGAUUAAGUCAUGGAUCCGUAGCGAAAGCGAGUCUUAAUAGGGCGCUUUAGUCAGUAGUGGUAGACGCGAAACCGUGUGAUCUACCCAUGGGCAGGUUGAAGUUUAGGUAACACUAAAUGGAGGACCGAACCGUUUAACGCUGAAAAGUUUUCGGAUGACCUGUGGGUAGGGGUGAAAGGCCAAUCAAACUCGGAAAUAGCUCGUACUCCCCGAAAUGCAUUUAGGUGCAGCGAUGAUCGAUAGUUACUUAGAGGUAGAGCUACUGAUUGGAUGCGGGGGCUUCACCGCCUACCAAUUCCUGACAAACUCCGAAUGCUAAGUAAUGAUAAUCAUCAGUGAGGGCAUGGGUGCUAAGGUCCAUGUCCGAGAGGGAAAGAACCCAGACCAUCAGCUAAGGUCCCCAAAUGUAUGCUAAGUUGAAAAAACGCGGUUUGAUUGCCCAGACAGCUAGGAUGUUGGCUUGGAAGCAGCCAUUCAUUUAAAGAGUGCGUAACAGCUCACUAGUCGAGCGAUCGAGCAUGGAUAAUAAUCGGGCAUAAGUAUACUACCGAAGCUAUGGAUUUGCGCAUUUAGUUGCGUGAGUGGUAGGGGAGCAUUCUAACGGCGCAGAAGGUGAUUUGUGAGAAUUGCUGGAGCUUUUAGAAAAGAAAAUGUAGGCAUAAGUAACGAUAAGGGGUGCGAGAAACACCCCCGCCGUAAGACUAAGGUUUCCUCAGCUAUGCUAAUCAGCUGAGGGUUAGUCGGGACCUAAGGCACACCCGAAGGGGGACGUCGAUGGCCAACGGGUUAAUAUUCCCGUACUACUAAUAAUUGUGAUGGAGUGACACAGUGAUGAAAGCACCGCGAACUGACGGAAUAGUUCGUUGAAGCACGUACCUAUAGGUUUGAUAGUAAAAUGCGUCAGACUUGGAGAAAUGCGAUAGUACUUUGAGUCUUCGGACAACGAGAUAGUGUGCCUAAGGGCUGUCAAGAAAAGCUUCUAAACUUAGAUUAUUAGUACCCGUACCGUAAACCGACACAGGUAGUCGAGGAGAGUAUCCUAAGGCGCUCGAGAGAUUCAUGGCUAAGGAACUAGGCAAAAUAGACCUGUAACUUCGGGAGAAAGGUCGCCAGCGCAAGCUGGCCGCAGUGAAAAGGUCCAGGCGACUGUUUAUCAAAAACACAGGGCUCUGCAAAAUCGUAAGAUGACGUAUAGGGCCUGACACCUGCCCGGUGCUGGAAGGUUAAGAGGAGAUGUUAUC
Molecule: ribosomal RNA, 1305 nt
Filed under: Myroides odoratimimus
Lineage: Bacteria; Pseudomonadati; Bacteroidota; Flavobacteriia; Flavobacteriales; Flavobacteriaceae
Description: partial 23S ribosomal RNA
Rfam family: Bacterial large subunit ribosomal RNA
Source: RNAcentral